Molecule: ribosomal RNA, 392 nt
Filed under: uncultured bacterium
Lineage: Bacteria
Description: partial 16S ribosomal RNA
Rfam family: Bacterial small subunit ribosomal RNA
Source: RNAcentral
AUACGGAGGAUCCGAGCGUUAUCCGGAUUUAUUGGGUUUAAAGGGUGCGCAGGCGGCCAUUUAAGUCAGCGGUUAAAUCGUGGGGCUCAACCCCAUUCUGCCGUUGAUACUGGGUGGCUUGAUUGCGGUCGAGGUUGGCGGAAUUCGUUGUGUAGCGGUGAAAUGCAUAGAUAUGACGAAGAACACCGAUUGCGUGGGCAGCUGACCAGACCGCAAAUGACGCUCAUGCACGAAAGUGCGGGGAUCGAACAGGAUUAGAUACCCUGGUAGUCCGCACAGUAAACGAUGAAUACUUGUUUUCGGCGAUAUAAUGUCGGAGGCAAAGCGAAAGCGAUAAGUAUUCCACCUGGGGAGUACGCCGGCAACGGUGAAACUCAAAUGAAUUGACGGGG